This 5970-nucleotide long non-coding RNA is filed under the name Homo sapiens (human). Its description in RNAcentral is "HSALNT0048009". The record is from RNAcentral. Lineage: Eukaryota; Metazoa; Chordata; Mammalia; Primates; Hominidae.
AGAAGAUGGAAAAACCGAAAAGAAGCAAGAUGGGAAAUGCAAUUAGAAAAAACAGAUUCAUACAACACACUUCAUGGUUUGUGAGUCGUAUUAACAGUGCCAGGCCAUUUAAGGAAAACAAAGGAAAUGCAUAUUCAGUGGGUGGCUACCAUGUAUGAAGCACUACUGGGAGACUAAUUCAAGUUCUGCUCCUCAGUUUUUCUGUAGAGAACACAUCUAACUCCUGGAGGGGAGCACGGGUGAUGAGAUGUCCAGGUAGAGUGUGGGGGUAUGGAUUCUAGGAAGUAGGCCAGGAAGCAACACUUGGCUUUCAACCAGUUGAUUUUUAGCCACCCAAAAAGUACUGAGAUGACUGAAUGCCCACAUUUUGUGUGCAGCCUUGCAGAACAUGCUGUACACAUCCCAGACGUCACGGAUGACUUGCUUGUGGGGUGGGUGGUUGAGUUUUAUCUGAAUUCUGCACAUCUGCAGGAGGCCCAGCCUCCGUAAAGGCAGUCUUGGUGGUAAACAGCCAUGACUAGUCUUAGGGUUCAUCGUGAGUAUAGUGUAGAGACCCCCUCAACUGUGGACUCCACAUCAUGGCCUCAGGGUUGUGAGGUCCUCAACUAGGGAUGGCGGAGGGUGGCAGCAAACCCUCAUGGGAAUGCCACCCAGUGUUCCUCAGCAUUUAAUGGGACUCACAUAGUCUAGAAAACCCAGGGUUCAUUUGGACUGUGGAAAGUAUCUAGGUUCUCAUAAUCUUUUUCUACAGAGUUUCCCCCAGCCUGAUCUCUGCUUUGGGGCACGAGGUGGUGUGCACGGGAGAGAGAACAGAUCAGCAACAUGGUGCUGAUGCAGUGAUUUCUGCAGCAAGAAAAGGGCCUCUUUCCUGUCCUUCUGGCAUUGGGAGCGAAAGGGACUUUCUGUCCACUGAUAGCGCGUGUGCACCAAGGAGCGCUCACCUGCUCAUUCAUGACUGUGGAGAGUUCGCUGAGCAUGUCCUUGUAGUGGGACCUCAGUUCUUCCUGGUACUCCAGCUGGUCCUCUUUGAUGAGGCGCUCAUUCACGUCAAGGGCCUGCCCACAUGCAUCUGCAAAUUGCCUUUAGCGACAGCAUUAAACAAAUUAAAAACCAGCCCUCGGAAGUGGCAUUGAGCUCAGUGACUGUGAGUUCAGAGUCAGGCUGCUGAUGGACUCUGCCACCUCAGUGAGUUUUGGUGUGAUGGAUUCUUGGGGGAUUGAGGACUCCCUGUCUCAGGAAGUUCAAGGAAGAACAUCCCAACAGCGAGAAGCUUACCUGAAGAUCUCCUUCAAAAGCUUUACUUGGUUGUCAGGGUACUUCUUUGCAUUGGUUUCUUCAAGAAAAGCUCGUGCAUAGGCCAUUGGCCCAGCAUUAACCUGUUGAGAAGAAAAUUGGUGAAGGAUGAUCUACCUUCUGCAUGGAGUCUUUUCCACCGCUGGAAGAGGAGCAACUGUGCACCAAUGGUCCUUCUCUUCUUAGCCCCAUGUGAACUGUGAGCUCCAGAAGGAAAAGACCCUGUGCGCCUCAUCUCUCAGUUCUGGGCUUGGCAUUCAGCAGGCAUUUGAUAGAGGUUGGCUAACUGAACGACAGUGUGUAAGAAGAUGCUGAGUAAUCUAAAAGAAGAGUCCCUUUAAGGAUUGAAAUGAAACAUUCGGGUAAUGAAGCAUUGAGAGGGUGAAAGUUCUCCAGGUGAUUCUGUUGAAUGGCCAACUGGAAAUGAGAAUAGAAGCGUCUCUGAGUGAACACUUGACGUAGGACACUGGAAGAAGCAGUGCACACUGAUGGAAUGGGCAAGUGGUUCAUGCCAGAAGAUAAAGGACUUAACAUACCAGAAGCAGGUACAAAUAUACAGUAACUGGGAAAAUGAAAUAAUGCCUGAGGAAACAAUAGAAAGAGCUAAGAAAGCAUUACAGAGGAAACACAGAGCAUUCAACAAACCAACAGGAAAGUCUUCCUUAAAUUAACACAGGAAUCUCAUGUACUUGUAAUGUUGACUUCAAAAGGACAGCACUUUAGUUUUCUCCUCUAUCUUUUUCUUUCCUCUCUCUCCCCAUUUAAUUAUUUAUGUGCACAGGUACACAUUAUUUAUACAUUUAAAAAUUCACCUAGCCCAUUAAUGCAAAGAGAUGGAAUUCUAAGUAGCUAAGGCAAAUUCCUGAUAUUACUGUGGUGGGCGCCACUCAGUUAAAGGGAGAAAACUUCCCACUUACUGCAGACAGGAAAUGAGACAAGUCACACAGCACAAGGGGAUAUGAGCAAUUUCCAAGAGGCAUUUCAUACCUUAAUAUAUGACUGGACAGAAUGAUCCAGCUGCUCCUCAUGGCACUUGGCCACAAUGUCGGUCAGAACCCUGCAAAAGCAAAGCUGUUCAGUGGCCUUUCUGGAGAGGGCAGAAAAACCCCGCUUUAGUUUGUCAUUACAGUGCUUUGUAAAUUGGGUAUUUAAUAAUUACUGGGUGAAUGAAUGAACCAAUCUCUGACUCCUUCCUUGCCCUCCUCAGCCCCAUAUCCAAUACUGGGCAUUUAAUAUCUAUAGCAUCAAUGAGCCAUUUCCAUCGAUUAGCCAUUUCCAACUUUGAAACUUUGAAACACAAAGAUGUAAGUAGUGUUGUAAUAUCACAAUGGAGACUUUUUGUCCAAGUUGAAUGUGCUAAUUAUGGUCUGUGCGUUUUUGACAUUAUCUUUUUGCAAAAGGGAUUAUUUUUAGUGCCUAAUUAAAAUUUUAGACUUUUAAUUUCAAAUUAAUAAUCAUAUUUCAUUUGAAGAGGGCUUGCCUUCCAACCUAUAGGCACUAUAUAUGCUUUUGGAAAAAGUAAUUAGGUUAAGAUGCAGUUGUUUUGUUUUGCUUUGUUUUUCCCUUAGCUGGGUUGGGGUUUCUAGCAGCAAUGAUGUACAGGUGGAUCUUUUUUCACAUUAACACUACCAGCUGCUCCAUGGCUAUAGUGCUUAGGAAUAUCUCAGAAUUUCAACAGAUCUAUCAGCUGCAAUAUCUAGGAGUCUUGCCAACACAGAGACACAUUCACAUGCUGAAAAGAGCAUGAGUUGAAGGCACAGCUGGGGACUUUUGAUGCAGGUCCAGAACUGGAUGGUUGUGAAGCCAUUAGAGAUAUUUAAAUUGUCCAGAAUUUCAGGCUCUGCUUUAAAAACUAGGCUACAAACCCUCAUUCAGAAAGAGGUCAGUAAUAUGCCUGUGAGUUAGAAAGAUACUGGAAACAUUUCAAUGCCAAAAGUAACAUUUUUUUCCAGAAUGCUAUGACUAAAUUUUUUAAAAAAAUGAACAGCACAAAUAUAUAAUUUAAUAAUUAAUUCAAAGCACUAUCUCUAUAAAGAAGAAAUUGUGAUUUGUGAAGGCAUUGGCCAGAUUAGAGAUGUUGGAAGAAUUCAGUAUAGCCAAAUUUAAAGUGAGAACAGUUAAAGCAUUUAAUACUUAAAAAAAAGGUUCUUGUGGGAAUGCAAAAUUAUACAGCCACUCUGGAGAAUAGGCACUUUCUUAAAUAUCAAACAUGCAACCACCCUGCCCCCCAGCAAUUACACUUUGGGCAUUUACUUAAGAGAAACGAAGACUUAUGUUUACACAAAACCUCUACAUGAAUGUUCAUAGCACUUCUUUUUUUUUGAGACGGAGUCUUGCUCUUUCACCCAGGCUGGAGUGCAGUGGUGCAAUCUCAGCUCACUGCAAGCUCCGCCUCCUGGGUUCAUGCCAUUCUCCUGCCUCAGCCUCCCGAGUAGCUGGGACUACAGGCACCCACCACCACGCCCGGCUAAUUUUUUGUAAUUUUUUUUUUUUUUUUUUUAGUAGAGUUGGGGUUUCACCAACUCUACUGUUACAUGUUAGGCAGGAUGGUCUCGAUCUCCUGUCCUUGUGAUCCACCGGCCUCGGCCUCCCAAAGUGCUGGGAUGACAGGCGUGAGCCACCGGGCCCAGCCGUUCAUAGCACUUUUAUUCAUAACAGCCCUAAACUAGAGACACUCCAAAUGUCCUUCAACAGGUGAAUAAUUAAACAUAUGUGGUGCAUCCACAUCGUGGAAUACUACUCUGCAAUGAAAAGGAGUGAACUACUGAUAGAUGCAAUGAUCUGGAUGAAUCUCCAGAGAAUUAUGUUACAUGAAAAAGCCAAUUACAAACAUUUACCUACUGUAUGAUUCUACACCUGUAUGGAAGAUGUUGCCAGUGGGGAAAACCAGGUAAAGGGCACAUGGGAAACUCUGAAUUAUGUUUUACAAUUGCACAUGAAUCUACCGUGAUCUCAAAAGAAAAAGUUUAAUUUAAAAAUCAAAGAAAAAGAGGUCUAACACUUUACUACUAAUAAUAAGAGAUUAGAAGGUAAGGAGUCAAGAGUGGAAAAUGCUUAAAUUUGAGAUGUGUUCAAAUGAAAUGUAAACACACAACAGUAGAUGACUGUUUAGUUAUAAUUAAGAGUUUAUGUAACUACACAUUAUAAAGUCUCUCCUCUUAAGGUUGUGUUAUGGAUACCUGGUGACAGUUGUAGUUAUUUCAUCUUCCUCAUUCUGUACCAGAACUUUGAAGAGCUGAUUCAAAAUUAUAGGCAGAAAACUCAUGAUUGCAUGAAUCUUUUCCACAUUCAAUAAGUUCUGUAGUAAAUUGGCAGAAAAAAAGGAUACCAAUUAAAUUUGAAGCAUGUCCUACAUUCAAGACCUGAAACUAUAAAUCUAUGAGAAGAAAACAUAAGGAGAAAAACUUCGUGACAUUAGACUGGGCAAUGAUUUUUUGGAUAUGACCCUCAAAGCUCAGGCAGCAAAGUGAAAACAGACAAAUGGCAUAUCAAACUAAAAGGUUUCAGCACAGCCAAGGAAACACUCAAUGGAGUAAAGAGACAACUUUACUCCAUUGAAUGGAGGAAAAUAUUUGCAAACCAUACAUCUUAGAAAGGGUUAAUAUCCAAAAUAUAUAAGGAACUCAAACAACUCAAUAGUAAGAAAACAAAUAACCCAAUGAAAAAAUGGGCAAGGGACCCAAAUAGACAUUUCUCAAAAGAGGGUGUACAAAUGGCCAACAGAUAUAUAAAAAAUGUUCAACGUCAUUAAUCAUUGGAGAAAUGCAAAUUAAAACCACAGUGGGACAUCACCUCAUAUCUGUUAAAAUGGCUGUUGUCAAAAAAGGUGAAAGAUAAUAAUUAUUGGAGAGGGUGUGGAGGAGAAGGAACACUUGCACAUUGCUGGUAAGAAUGUAAAUCAGAAGAGCCACUAUGGAAAACAAUAUGAAGGUUCCUCAAAAAAUUAAAAAUAGCACUACCAUAUAAUCUAGCAAUCCCACUACUGGAUGUAUAUCCAAAGGAAAUGAGAUCAGUAUGCUGAAGAUGUCUAUUCCCAUCUUUACUGCAGCACUAUUCACUGCAGCCAAGAUACAGAAUCAAUCCAAGUGUCCAUCAACCGAUGAAAUGGGUAAAGAAAAUGUGGUACAUAAACAUAAUGGAAUACUAUACAGCCUUAAAAAGGAAGGAAAUUAGGUCAUUUGCAACAACAUGGAGGAACCCGGAGUAUAUUAUGCUAAGUGAAAUGAGCCAGGCACAGAAAGACAAAUACCGCAUGAUCUCAUUUAUAUGUGGGAUCUAAAAAAGUUGAAUUCAUAGAAGUAGAGAGUGGAAUGGUGGUUACCAGGGGCUAGGGAGGGGAGUGCUGGGAGAUGUUGAUCAAAGGAUACAAAAUUUCAGCUAGAUAGAUAGGAGGAAUAUUGCACAACAUGGUCACUAUAGUUAAUAAAAAUGUGUUAUAUUCUUAAAAAUCUCUAAGAGAGUGGAUAUUAAGUGUUAUAACCUUAAAAAUUAUAAGUAUGUGAUAUAAUAAAUACAGUAAUUAACUCAAUGAAGCUGUUACAUAAUGUAUACAUAUUUCCAAACAUCAUACUGUAUACAAUAAAGGUAUAUAAUUUUUCUUUGUUAAUUAAAAAAUGAAUACGUUAGAAAAAAAUAAAGUAUAUUCUGCUGGUAUUUUUUUCAGAACUUGAGUAUGAA